CCUACGGGUGGCAGCAGUGAGGAAUAUUGGUCAAUGGGCGCGAGCCUGAACCAGCCAAGUAGCGUGAAGGAUGACUGCCCUACGGGUUGUAAACUUCUUUUAUAAAAGAAUAAAGUCAGGCACGUGUGCCUUUUUGUAUGUACUUUAUGAAUAAGGAUCGGCUAACUCCGUGCCAGCAGCCGCGGUAAUACGGAGGAUCCGAGCGUUAUCCGGAUUUAUUGGGUUUAAAGGGAGCGUAGAUGGGUUGUUAAGUCAGUGGUGAAAGUUUGCGGCUCAACCGUAAAAUUGCCAUUGAUACUGGCAGGCUAGAGAACAGUUGAGGUAGGCGGAAUUCGUGGUGUAGCGGUGAAAUGCUUAGAGAUCACACAGAACUCCGAUUGCGAAGGCAGCUUACUAAGCUGCUACUGACAUUGAGGCUCGAAAGUGUGGGUAUCAAACAGGAUUAGAUACCAGUGUAGUC
This 460-nucleotide ribosomal RNA is filed under the name uncultured bacterium. RNAcentral describes it as "partial 16S ribosomal RNA". It matches the Rfam family "Bacterial small subunit ribosomal RNA", at positions 338 to 795 of the family's 1533-position model. The record is from RNAcentral.